This 9054-nucleotide long non-coding RNA is filed under the name Hordeum vulgare. RNAcentral's name for it is "long non-coding RNA (HVUL_LNC010611)". Lineage: Eukaryota; Viridiplantae; Streptophyta; Magnoliopsida; Poales; Poaceae. The record is from RNAcentral.
CUUCUGACAAGAAGAUAAAUCGAUUUUUUUCUCUUUGCCAUUGAUGUCUACUACACAACUUGUUUUUGUAGACUCGUGCUGGGACUCCAAGCAUAGAGUUUUUUAGGACAGUGACAAAUUUCCUUUAAGUGGAUGACCUAAGGUUUAUCUAUCGUGGGAGGCGUAAGAUGAAGAUGGUUUCUCUCAGACAACCCUGCAACCAAAUAAUAAAAAGUCUCUUGUGUAGGUGCACUAGUUCGGCGAAGAGAUGGUGAUACAAAUGUAGUAUUGAUGGUAGACAUUGAUUUUUCUAAUCUGAAAAUAUAAAAACAGCAAGAUAGCAAGUAACAAAAGUGAUCAUAAUUGGUAUUGCAAUACUUAAAAAUGAGGCCUAGGAUCCGUACUUUCGCUAGUGCAAUCUUUCAACAAUGCUAAUAUAAUUGGAUCACGUAACCAACCCUCACCGUGAAACGAAGAAUCAUUCCAAAGUUCUUAUCUAGCGGAGAACAUAAGAAAAAAUUAUUUGUAGGGUACGAAACCACCUUAAAUUUUUCCUUUUCGAUCGAUCUAUCCAAGAGUCCGUACUAACAUAACACCAAGUUAUCCUUUCUGAUCGAUCUAUUCGAGAGUUCGCACUAAAAUAACACCAUAUGAUAUGCAUCAACCAACUUUAAUGUCAUACUCCCAUGUCACUACAAGUAUCCAUGAGUUAAUUAUAUCAUACACAUGAAAUAAUUUCAAAUUCAUAAUACUCAAUCCAACACAAAUAACCACAAAGAGCGCCCCAAGAUUUCUAUCGGAGAAAGUGGGACGAAAACGUGCAUCAACUCGUAUGCAUAGAUUACCCCAAUGUCAACUCGGGAGUCCGCGAGUUGAGUACCAAAACAUAUAUCAAGUGAAUCAAUAUAAUAUCCCAUUGUCACCACGGGUAUUCAUAUGAAAGACAUAUAUCAAGUGCUCUCAAAUCCAUAAAAAAAUUCGAUCCGAUAAUAACAAAAAUCUCAAAGGGAAAACUCAAUUCAUCACAACAAGAUAGAGAGGGGAAAACACCAUAUGAUCCAGCUAUAUUAACAAAGCCCAUGAUACAUCAAGAUCAUGCCAUCUCAAGAACACGAGAGAGAGAGAUUGAACACAUAGCUACUGGUAUAAACCGUCAGCCCCAAGGGUGGACUACUCCCUCCUCGUCAUGGCCUCCGUUGGGAUGCUAAGGAUUGCCACCGAAGAUGAUCUCCCGCUCCGGCAAGGUGCCGUAACGGGGUCUAGAUUGAUUUGUCGUGGCUACAGAGGCUUGCGGCGGCGGAACUUAUGAUCUAGGGAUAUUUUUGGAGGUUUCUGUAUUUAUAGGAUUUUUGGGCGUCGGUUCCACGCGAAGAUGCGCCACGAGGAGAGCACAAGACACCAGGGCGUGCCUGGGGCCUGUGGCCUGCCCUGGUGUGUUGUGCCCACCUCGUGGAUCUUCUACGCCUCCAACAAAGCUUCUAGUGCCUAUUCUAUUCCAAAAAAUCAUUAAAAAGAUUCAUUGCAUUUGGAGAACUUUGAUUUCUGCACAAAAAACAACACCACGGGCUAGCAAUCAAAGCACAUUUUUUGAACAAAUGGCAUCCAUCAAACACAUAGAAAGAUACGGGCUAAAUGUUUCGCCUCCCAACAUACUUAUCAUAAAAAUAAUUGUCAACAAUAAUGAAUCAUGAUCAAAUAUAUUUGACUGGCCAUAUGUGCCUAGAUCUUUCCCCAACACAUGGUGCUUGCCAACUAAUAUAUUGAGGUUGAACUAAGAAGUUGACUCAACAUGAAAAGUAAAUAACACGAAAGUAAAUAGAUUAUCCCUUCACAGAGGGAAGCAGGGAUUUGCAUAUGUGCCAGAGCUCAUUGUUUAAAAUAGAAUAUAAUUUUGAAAGGUGCACCCUUCCCGUCAACGUUACAACCAGGAGUUAUCGAUAUCUUCCAUGUUAAACACAUUAGCGGCGGUUCCCAAGCGAUAAAUGUAAAGGUUUACUCCCCCUCCACCAACAAACACACUCCACGGCUAGCCGAAUCCACGAAUACCAUCCAUACACCAACAUUCCUGGGGGAGUUUUGUUUAAUUAUUUGCAUUUUUUUAUUUCGGGACCGGGAAUCCCUAUUACCGGCCCUCGUGUGCAAGAACGAGUGAAUAAACACUCAUCAUGAGAAUAACCCGCUUAACAUGGAAGAUACUGACCACCCCCUAUCGCUCCAUGAGUGGUCCACACACACAAAAAAGAUGUUCAUUUGAAUUUUUAGAGGUGGCACAUGCAAAUUUACUUGGAACGGCGGGGUAAUACCCCAUAUAGGUAGAUAUAGUGGAUUCUCAUGGCACGAAACUGGGUUUAAGGGUUUUUGGAUGCUCAAGUAGUAUCUCUACUUAGUACGAAUUUUUGGCUAGCAAAAGAUCCUAAGCAAACACCACAUGUUGGAGGAUCCAUAACAAUAUAACUUCUAUGCAAAUAUACACAACCAUAAUUCAUUAUGUUGUCUUCCUUGUCCAACUUCAACUAAUUUUCUCAAGUUAGAAAAUAAUUAAUGGGUAUUCACAAUCAUAGAAUAUUUCCAAUAUAAUAUAUUUGUAUGUGAAAGUUCUCUUCCUUAUACUAUUCGUUCAUGAAUUGCUUGUAUGACCAAUAUUGUGAUUGUCAAACUUCAAUAGAUUUUACUUUAUAAACCGGAUGUGAAGCUACUAUUAAGCAUAAAGCAGAUUAAUAAUUUUAUGUUUAUGAUAUUUCAUUGAUUCACAAUUUACUCGUAGAUAUAAGUGAAGCUCAAGAGGAAACAUCAAACUACUCUUCAAAAGAUAUAAAUGAAGAUCAAUGAGUAGGUAAACAAUCAAGUAGCUAUGUGAGGACUCUCUCUCUCUCUCUCUCUCUCAAUAAAGAUUUUCAUAUCUGAGUAUUUUAUUCAAACAAGAAACUAAACCAAAAUAGAACUCCAAGAAUAGAUCGCAUCAUGUGGACAAAUAAAAAUUUAGGCUCGACAUAGGCUAACCGAUAGUUGUUUGAUGAAGAAAGGUGGGAUGCAUAGCAUCCACAAGCUUAGAUGCUUGACACUUCUUAAAAUAUUUUCUUGGGGUUCCUUGAGCAUCCCCAAGCUUGAGAUUUCGUGUCUCCUUAAUUCCUCUCAUAUCAUGGUUUCUCUUAAGUCUCAAAAACUUCAUCCACACAAAACUUGAAAAGAACUCGUGAGAUAGGUUAGUACACAUAAAAGUAAAUUAACACUUCAUGUAUUGCCAACACAAAUUGCAUAUAAUUUUCAAACAUUAGGUAUUGUAUACUACCAUUUCCACAAUUUAUAUCUACCAAUAUAAACUAUGGAAUCUAUAGGAUAAGUAUAUAACAAAACUAUGACACUAAUCUAUCCAACAGAACAGUCUGUAGCAAUUAAUUCCAAAAAUGUACUUAUGUAACUCAAAAACUUCUGAACAUUUAGGACAUGAUAAAUAAUUUGUAUUACAGUACUGUGUAAAAAUUUCAAAAACUUUCCUCGUUCUAGUAAAAUAUGAUAAUUCAAAUACUACAACAAAAAAUUCUGUUUUUAUACAUCACACAUCACACAUGCAAUUCAAGCAUUCUAAAGGCAAUUAUUCGAACUUUUUAUUGAAAAACAAAAUUAUAAAUAACAUAUAACAAAGAACAACAAAAUAAAAUGAUGCUCCAAGCAAAACACAUAUCACGUGAUGAAUAAAAAUAUAGAUAUACCGAUAAUGUUGGAGACGAAAGAGGGGAUGUCUUACGGGGCAUCCCCAAGCUUAGGCGCUUGAGUCUCCCUUGGAUAUUAUCUUGAGGUUUACUUGGGCAUCCCCAAGCUUAGGUUCUUUCUGCUCCUUAUUCUCCUUGUAUUGAUAUCUCACCCAAAACUUGAAAACGUCAAUCACACAAAACUUAACGGGACUUCGUGAGAUGGGUUAGUAUGAUAGAUAUAGAUCAUUCACUUAGGUACUGUCAAGACAAGAUUCACAAUUGUUUUCACAUAAUGCCUAUUAUGUUCUAUCAUCACCAUAAUUUAUAUCACUCAAUGUAAGUUAUGAAACACUAAACAGAAUAAUACUAUGCACGCAAAACAGAAUCUGUCAAAAAUAGAAUAGUCUGUGAAGAUCUGCAUUAAAACGAUACUUCUGUGACACUAUAAAUUUUUAGAAAUUAAGAUAGUGCAGAGAAUUUGCAUAACAAAACUGUGUAAAAAUUUCAAAAUGUUUUGACUCCCCGGUAAAAUCAUAGAAAUUCUACACUGGACAUAAAAGUUUCUCUUUUUUCACAGAUUCAAACAAGCAAGUAUCCACACUAUCCCAAAGGCUUUACUUGGCACUUUAUUGAAAUAAACACUAUAAAACAUGAUUAAUAUAGUAGCUUAAUCAUGUGAGCACUCAAAAACAUAACGGAUAAAUAUUGGUUUGUCUCCCAAUAAGCGCUUUUCUUUAAUGUGUUUUAACUAGGCAUGAUGAUUUCAACGAUGCUCGUAUAGGAAUAAUAGUUGAAACAUGCAAGAGAGCAUCAUGAAUCAUUUUCACGAAAAACAUGAUUAAUAUAGUAGCUUAAUCAUGUGAGCACUCAAUCAUGUGUUUUAAGCGUUUUCAUAAUUUCUUCCACUAGCAAUUGAGCACAAUUUUCAGUUCCAUCGUUUUCACGAAAAACAUGAUAAAGAUGAACAAUAUAAAGUCUCUUGUGUCCCCAACACAUCAAAUACAAUGAUAAAUUGUAUAGGUGCACUACUUCGGCGAAGAGACGGUGAUACAAGUGUAGUAAUGAUAUUAAAUUUUUUUUUAAUAUGAAAAUAUAAAAACCACAAGGUAGCAAGUAACAAAAGUGAUCAUAAACAGUAUUGCAAUGCUUGAAAAUGAGGCCUAGGGUCCGUACUUUCACUAGUGCAAUCUCUCAACAAUACUAAUAUAAUUGGAUCACAUAACCAUCCCUCAACGUGCAACAAAGAAUCACACCAUAGUUCUUAUCUAGCCAAGAACAUAAGAAGAAAUUGUUUGUAGGGUAAGAAACCACCUUAAAGUUAUCAUUUCGGAUGGAUCUAUCCAAGAGUUUGUACUAAAAUAACACCAACUUAUCCUUUCCGAUCGAUCCAUUCAAGAGUUCAUACUAAAAUAACACCAUAUGAUACACAUCAACCAACUCUAGUGUCAUACUCAAAUGUCACCACAAGUAUCCAUGAGUUAGUUAUACGAUACACAUCAAACAAUUUCAGAUUCAUAAUACUCAAUCCAACACAAUCAACCUCAAAGAGUUCCCCAAGAUUUCUACCGGAGAAAGUAGGAUGAAAACAUGCAUGAACCUGUAUGCAUAGAUUACCCCAAUAUCACCUCGGGAAUCCACGACUUGCGUACCAAAACAUAUAUCAAGUGAAUCAAUAUAAUACCCCAUUGCCAUCACGAUUAUUCAUAUGAAAGACAUAUAUCAAGUGCUCUCAAAUCCAUAAAAUUUUUCGAUCUAAUAGUAAUGAAAUCUCAAAGGGAAAACUCAAUUCAUCACAACAAGAUAGAGAUGGGAAAACACCAUAUGAUCCAACUAUAUUAACAAAGCCCAUGAUACAUCAAGAUCGUGCCAUCUCAAGAACAUUAGAGAGAUAGAGAGAGAGAGAGAUUGAACACAUAGCUACUGGUACAAACCGUCAGCCCCGAGGGUGGACUACUCCCUCCUUGUCAUGGCCUCCGCCGGGAUGAUGAAUAUGGCCACCAGAGAUGAUCUUCCCCUCCGGCAAGGUGCUGGAACAGGGUCUAGAUUGGUUUUUCGUGGCUACAGAGGUUGGAGGCGGCAAAACUUCUGAUCUAACGACAAGAGCCAUAGCGCCCGUGGCCCGCUCGCGCUCGUUGACAGAAAUCUCCUAGAGGAGGAGGCGGGACCGUGCCUAGAGGAAGGUGGGGAAGGAUUGCUGCAUCGAGAGCAGCAUCGCCAUGACAUGGAAGAGGCGACUCUGGCCACAGAUCUGCUGCAGCGUGAGUGACCGGUCCGAGACCGGCUCACCCACGCCGACCAUGGCGGAGGCGAGCUGCUGGAGCCGACGGAAGUACUGGGUGAUCGUCAUGUCGCCUUGGAUCGUGGUGCAGAAGUCGACGCCGAUGUAGAUGGUGCGGCCGACAACGUUGUCGCGAAAGAAGAUCUCGAGCUGCUCCCAGAGACGAAAGGUGGUGCUGUCCGGCGAGUGGAUGGUGUUGUAGAGCUCAUCAAAGAUCGUCUCGUACACCCACACGACGAUCGUCAUGUCGUCGUUGCGCGAUAGGUCGGGUAGGCAUGCAACGGGUCCACCUCCUCCACGACGUGGUCCUCGACCUGGUACUUGCACAGGAUGUACCAAAGGAGCUGGCGCCACUUCGAGUAGUUCUCGGAGUUGAUGGAGAGCUUGAACAGGAUGUACGACGCGAUGUUAGCGUGAUGCAUGAGUGGAGCAGGAGUAAGAGGAACCUGGGGCGGGGCAAGGGCCAGGAAGUCGACAUGGGGUCGCACGGCGCACAGCGAGGGCGCCACAGCCAAACGCAGCACGCGGGCGUUGGGUGACAAAGGCGUCGCGACGACGGGUGCCGGAGGGGAGAGCGCCGGGACGAUGGUCGUCGUGGGGUUGGGGGCGACUUCCUGCAGGAUGAAGACGGCGUCGGCAUCCUCGAAUGAACGAGUUUGGCGGAGAGAGCGCCGGAUACUCAUGGCGGAAGCUGGAGAGGAUUGAGUAAAGCUGAUACCAAGUUAGAUGAAUGAACUCAUAGUAUAUUCAUUGAUGUACAUCACAACUUCUUAUAUAGCAGGUUACACGAGGAUUGGGGAGCUAUCGUUACAACGGAACUGGGAUAGCAACGGGGAGCGAGUCUAUGUGGGCGAGGCCUACGCAAGCGGGAGCGUGGGCACCGUGGGACUCGGUCCCUUUUGUUGCACGUGCGGGUGAGGGUGCAUGUCACGUUUCCAACAGCCACCAGCGAAGGCGACGCGGAUGGGGAUGCCAACGCGGCAUGAUGCCUACCCACUGAUGGAGCCGCAUGAUUGCACGAUCUGCCACGGCUACCAGUCAUGCUCGCCGACCACAUCACCACACGAUGCAGGCAGUAGAGAUGCUGGUGUGGUCGUUGAAUCGAAAUGGCCCGUGUGCCAUGGUCGAUGAGCCCGUCACCAACACCGGAGCAUCACAGAAGUAAUUGGAGGGACGCGGGAGAGAGGGCUCGGUCGUGGUGAUCGCGGGGAGAUGGGUCACCUCGGUGGCUUGGGAGGGAUGGAGAAGGUCGGCGAGGAUGUGCGGUUGCGGUUUCCCUUUUCUGCGGAAUCGCUCGCAAGGGUGAGGACUAUAGGUUGGUUUUUCCUUUGUAUUUGCCGCUGGUUUAGUGGAUUGGAUUGUGCGAUCGAAGGAUAUCGGUUUUGAGGGAAAAAAACAGGCCCGAGGAGAAGGUAUCGUGAGGAGAGGUGGUCGAACCAUCACGACAAUGUUCGAUCCCUCUUUAAUAGUAGAGAUUUCUGGCAGCAGCUGAAUUGGAGGAAGAAAACAAAGUGGAUACACUAUUUAUUGCAACUUUAGCCAUUUGAAGGCUUCGAGGCGUCUAUCUGUCACAUUUAAGUUUGCAAACUGCUGGCUAUACCGAAGGAAGAAGAUUUAGUGAUUAUCAAAAUCUACAUAGGCAUGUAAAGAAUAUCAACCAAUGUAACAUACGCAUUUUUAUUGUUAUGUAGUGCAAGAAAUGUGUAAAUGUGGUACAUACAAAUGUAUUUAUAGAUUGUACUAACUCUUCCUUUUUUGACUUGGAAAUAUCUUUUCAGUGUCGGAAUCACCGUUUCGUGCACUAAUAAUUCAUACUUGCAUCCUUUCCACUUUAGUACAUCAUUUGCUACCACAUAUUAAUACAGUUGAUCUUUUUCUUGCAAAUUAUUUGCUUAAAAUUUCCGCUGCAACGCGCAUGAUAUCUUCUAUUUCCUCUGUAUCUAACUAGCAAAAAGGGCUCGUGCGAUGCACCGGGUUGCUCGAAAUCGCAUCUUGGAUCUGCCGAUAUAUCCAUGAUUUCCCCCGACAUACCCCUGCUUUGUGCCUUUAGAGCUACUCCUCUAGCAUGUUCAACGUUUUGCAAUGGUUUCCUCUAAAGUCCAAAACCCACAUACUUUCAGUCUUAAUGAAUUGGUAAUGGAAGCUAGGAUCCACUCAUGCAUUGUUCCCUGGAUGCCCACACUUCAAUUACAAUUGUACAUGACGAUGAACCAUGUUAGAUUCAGUUACGAUCAAUUGGUUCUUCUUUUCUAUUUAGCUGCCUAUCCUAGUUAGGAGAUAUUGAGAUGGCAGCAAGCUGCAUUCUAGAGGUUCAAAAGUGUUACAGAGUUAGAAGUGAAAGAAAAUAUUGAACACAACAAUUCCUUACGUCCAGACUUUCCACUAAUUAAGUAGAUUAAAGGAAACAAUCAGGACAUGCUAAAUGUUGUAUGCUUUAUCAAGAUCGAAUCAAAGAUGUAAGAGGCGCAAUCUGAUAUGUCUGAUUGUGUAACGAAGUCUGCAAAAAACAAUUACUUGAGAGGUGCCCUCAAUCAGCAAAAAAGUAUGUCAAAUACGUACCAUUUUUUAGAAGACAAUCAGUUCCGUGUUGGGGCUGUUUUGCUGGAUUUAGCUCCGUGUGGGGGCGUCGAAGAGCAGAGGGCCCCGAAUCUUGAGCCGAUGGAGGGCCUAGUUGGGGGAUCUGCCGUCGAUGCGGCAUCCAGACGGGCUAGGCCAUCUCAAGAUAACACAGAGAGAUGGGAAGAAGCAGGGAGACGGGGCAGCCGGAUCUUGAGUCCCUGAAGGCCAGGACGGAAGGGGAGGUAGCGGAGAGAUGAAUCAACCGCACAUUGAGAGUUGAGACGUGGGGAUGCACAUCCGUCAUUGUUUAUAGCCGACGUCACCUAGAGGUCGGGCGGGCAUCCAUUGGCCUUGGUAGCCGGAGGAGAGUGGGUUAGGGGACAGGGACGAGACGGGGAGGACUAAGGGCACGACGUCGGAUCCUUGGUUGUAGAUCGGUGCCGGCAGCCCAUGCCGUCGCGGUGCAGGAGGGAGACGACAAAUGGGGACAGGCAUCGCUGGGGAGACGAACAGGGAAGAAGCACCGCGGGUUGAAUAUUCUAGAAG